Molecule: ribosomal RNA, 888 nt
Filed under: Escherichia coli
Lineage: Bacteria; Pseudomonadati; Pseudomonadota; Gammaproteobacteria; Enterobacterales; Enterobacteriaceae
Description: partial 23S ribosomal RNA
Rfam family: Bacterial large subunit ribosomal RNA
Source: RNAcentral
CGUCUGGAAAGGCGCGCGAUACAGGGUGACAGGCCCGUACACAAAAAUGCACAUGCUGUGAGCUCGAUGAGUAGGGCGGGACACGUGGUAUCCUGUCUGAAUAUGGGGGGACCAUCCUCCAAGGCUAAAUACUCCUGACUGACCGAUAGUGAACCAGUACCGUGAGGGAAAGGCGAAAAGAACCCCGGCGAGGGGAGUGAAAAAGAACCUGAAACCGUGUACGUACAAGCAGUGGGAGCACGCUUAGGCGUGUGACUGCGUACCUUUUGUAUAAUGGGUCAGCGACUUAUAUUCUGUAGCAAGGUUAACCGAAUAGGGGAGCCGAAGGGAAACCGAGUCUUAACUGGGCGUUAAGUUGCAGGGUAUAGACCCGAAACCCGGUGAUCUAGCCAUGGGCAGGUUGAAGGUUGGGUAACACUAACUGGAGGACCGAACCGACUAAUGUUGAAAAAUUAGCGGAUGACUUGUGGCUGGGGGUGAAAGGCCAAUCAAACCGGGAGAUAGCUGGUUCUCCCCGAAAGCUAUUUAGGUAGCGCCUCGUGAAUUCAUCUCCGGGGGUAGAGCACUGUUUCGGCAAGGGGGUCAUCCCGACUUACCAACCCGAUGCAAACUGCGAAUACCGGAGAAUGUUAUCACGGGAGACACACGGCGGGUGCUAACGUCCGUCGUGAAGAGGGAAACAACCCAGACCGCCAGCUAAGGUCCCAAAGUCAUGGUUAAGUGGGAAACGAUGUGGGAAGGCCCAGACAGCCAGGAUGUUGGCUUAGAAGCAGCCAUCAUUUAAAGAAAGCGUAAUAGCUCACUGGUCGAGUCGGCCUGCGCGGAAGAUGUAACGGGGCUAAACCAUGCACCGAAGCUGCGGCAGCGACGCUGAUGCGUUGUUGGGUA